UUCAGAAGGUGGAUGUUCCUUCUAUGUUUACGGGAUUUAUAGUUAAUCAUAGAGGAAAAUCCACAUGUUUGG
Ailuropoda melanoleuca (giant panda) is the source of this 72-nucleotide non-coding RNA. NCBI's taxonomy places the organism in Eukaryota, Metazoa, Chordata, Mammalia, Carnivora, Ursidae. The record is from Rfam.